Long non-coding RNA from Dermochelys coriacea (leatherback sea turtle), 832 nucleotides. RefSeq lists it as uncharacterized. The transcript has 3 exons. Lineage: Eukaryota; Metazoa; Chordata; Testudines; Dermochelyidae. The record is from RefSeq and is a predicted model, not a curated record.
GAGGAGGCUCUGAACAGCAUGAGACUGGCAGAUAAAGUACCUGUGUGAGAACUCCACUCUCCAUAUCGGCAUUGUGUUCAGCACUUCCUUGUCCACUGUUUCAACAAGAUCAGUUUCUCUGUACACAAGGUACAGAAAUACAGCAAGGAUAUGGAAUAAGCAAGAAAUUUUUCUGCAACUUCAGUGAUCCAGUUCUUUAAAAAUCCAAGCUCAGAACAUUUUCCAGGCAGCAACAACAUCUGUUCCAGCAAUGAGCCAUUUGUUCACUGACUUCAGUAUGUCUCAUCACAGCAUAGUGUGCAUCAUUGUUGCUGCCAAAGGAUUUAAAGGUAAACAUUCUAUUGUGAAAACUGGAUACAAGACAGCUCUACCUAGACCUUUAAUCAUAUUUGAGGAGUUGACCCAGGAGCAAGCUGGAACAAAAAGUUUAAUUUCUAAGAUGUAUACAAUUUUGAGUGAAAAAGAUGUUGGUAAGAAAACAGCCCAGAUGAAAAGAUGGAGAUGGAUUUGUACAAAGAAAUUGAUCUAGAUGAAUGGAUCUCUGUAGGGGAAAGGGGUUAUACAUCUUCAAUUUGUGUAGCGCAUAAAGAAAAUGUUUAUAAAUUAGUGUAUAGAUGGCAUUUGACUCCAGUCAAGAUCCAUCAUAUUUUUGUUGCUAAGGAGGCACUUUAUUGAAGGGGUUUCUGGGAAAGCAGAACAUAUUCGCAUAUGUGGUGGUUGUGUCCAGGAAUUGGAUGGUUUUAGGAGGAAAUUAUUGAAGACAUUCAUCUUAUAACAAAUUGCUAGCUUCCCAGAGAUUCCCCUGACCUGCUUACUUAAUGCUCCAGUAAAA